AUUGAACGCUGGCGGCAUGCCUUACACAUGCAAGUCGAACGGUAACAGGUCUUCGGAUGCUGACGAGUGGCGAACGGGUGAGUAAUACAUCGGAACGUGCCUAGUAGUGGGGGAUAACUACUCGAAAGAGUGGCUAAUACCGCAUGAGAUCUACGGAUGAAAGCAGGGGAUCGCAAGACCUUGUGCUACUAGAGCGGCCGAUGGCAGAUUAGGUAGUUGGUGGGAUAAAAGCUUACCAAGCCGACGAUCUGUAGCUGGUCUGAGAGGACGAUCAGCCACACUGGGACUGAGACACGGCCCAGACUCCUACGGGAGGCAGCAGUGGGGAAUUUUGGACAAUGGGCGCAAGCCUGAUCCUGCAAUGCCGCGUGCAGGAUGAAGGCCUUCGGGUUGUAGACUGCUUUUGUACGGAACGAAAAGCCCCGGGUUAAUACCCUGGGGUCAUGACGGUACCGUAAGAAUAAGCACCGGCUAACUACGUGCCAGCCGCCGCCGUAA
This 498-nucleotide ribosomal RNA is filed under the name uncultured bacterium. Its description in RNAcentral is "partial 16S ribosomal RNA". It matches the Rfam family "Bacterial small subunit ribosomal RNA", at positions 30 to 523 of the family's 1533-position model. The record is from RNAcentral.